Molecule: ribosomal RNA, 274 nt
Filed under: uncultured prokaryote
Description: partial 16S ribosomal RNA
Rfam family: Bacterial small subunit ribosomal RNA
Source: RNAcentral
UACGUAGGUUGCAAGCGUUGUCCGGAUUUACUGGGUGUAAAGGGCGUGUAGGCGGAGAUGCAAGUUGGGAGUGAAAUCCCGGGGCUCAACCCGGAACUGCUUUCAAAACUGCAUCCCUUGAGUAUCGGAGAGGCAAGCGGAAUUCCUAGUGUAGCGGUGAAAUGCGUAGAUAUUAGGAGGAACACCAGUGGCGAAGGCGGCUUGCUGGACGACAACUGACGCUGAGGCGCGAAAGCGUGGGGAGCAAACAGGAUUAGAUACCCCGGUAGUCUCU